This 255-nucleotide ribosomal RNA is filed under the name uncultured bacterium. Its description in RNAcentral is "partial 16S ribosomal RNA". It matches the Rfam family "Bacterial small subunit ribosomal RNA", at positions 524 to 776 of the family's 1533-position model. The record is from RNAcentral.
UACGUAGGGACCAAGCGUUGUCCGGAUUUAUUGGGCGUAAAGAGCUCGUAGGCGGCCCUCCACGUCGGAUGUGAAAGCUCAGGGCUCAACCCUGGGAUGCCAUUCGAUACGGGAAGGCGUAGAGGUAGGUAGGGGAAAGUGGAAUUCCUGGUGUAGCGGUGAAAUGACGCAGAUAUCAGGAGGAACACCGGUGGCGAAGGCGGCAUCCUGGACCAACACUGACACUGAUGAGCGAAAGCCAGGGGAGCAAACGGG